Molecule: ribosomal RNA, 138 nt
Filed under: uncultured bacterium
Lineage: Bacteria
Description: partial 16S ribosomal RNA
Rfam family: Bacterial small subunit ribosomal RNA
Source: RNAcentral
UGGGGGAUAUUGCACAAUGGGGGAAACCCUGAUGCAGCGACGCCGCGUGGGUGAAGAAGUAUUUCGGUAUGUAAAGCCCUAUCAGCAGGGAAGAAAGAAGACGGUACCUGACUAAGAAGCCCCGGCUAACUACGUGCC